RNAcentral lists this ribosomal RNA (301 nucleotides) under uncultured bacterium. RNAcentral's name for it is "partial 16S ribosomal RNA". It matches the Rfam family "Bacterial small subunit ribosomal RNA", at positions 509 to 807 of the family's 1533-position model. The record is from RNAcentral.
CAGUAGCCACGGUAAUACGAAGGGGGCUAGCGUUGCUCGGAAUUACUGGGCGUAAAGGGAGCGUAGGCGGACAUUUAAGUCAGGGGUGAAAUCCCAGAGCUCAACUCUGGAACUGCCUUUGAUACUGGGUGUCUUGAGUGUGAUAGAGGUAUGUGGAACUCCGAGUGUAGAGGUGAAAUUCGUAGAUAUUCGGAAGAACACCAGUGGCGAAGGCGACAUACUGGAUCAUUACUGACGCUGAGGCUCGAAAGCGUGGGGAGCAAACAGGAUUAGAUACCCGUGUAGUCCCUGUCUCUUAUAC